RNAcentral lists this unclassified non-coding RNA (298 nucleotides) under Hevea brasiliensis (rubber tree). The record is from RNAcentral. Lineage: Eukaryota; Viridiplantae; Streptophyta; Magnoliopsida; Malpighiales; Euphorbiaceae.
GCUUCCUUUACUUAGUAAUGUCUAUUUUUGCUUUUCUUCUACCUCAUGAACCCUGUUGAGUGAUUCUUCAAAUGCUUGCAAUGCAACACCAUAAUGAUCUAGAGAAAUCACCCCCUCCUCCACAACUUGCAGAGCACUUCUAUAUAACUGGUUAAACCACUGAACCCUAUCAGUAGCAUCAACUCUACUAGAGCCGUGAUCUGGAAUAUAUAAGCGCUUGUAAUCCUUCUUCCACCGCGAUAAUAUAUACUUCGAAGGUAUCUCCUCCACCCCAUUAAAAUUAAGCACACACAACGCA